RNAcentral lists this ribosomal RNA (552 nucleotides) under uncultured bacterium. RNAcentral's name for it is "bacterial SSU rRNA". It matches the Rfam family "Bacterial small subunit ribosomal RNA", at positions 62 to 635 of the family's 1533-position model. The record is from RNAcentral.
UCGUACGCGAAAGCCCUUCGGGGCAAGUAGAGUGGCGAACGGGUGAGUAACGCGUAGAUAACUUACCCUCGGGUUUGGGAUAACUCUCUGAAAGGAGAGCUAAUACCGGAUAAUAAAAAAUAGCGAAAGCUUUUUUUUUGAAAGGUCCGCCGCCCGAGGAUAGGUCUGCGUGACAUUAGCUAGUUGGUAGGGUAAUGGCCUACCAAGGCUACGAUGUCUAGUGGGUCUGAGAGGAUGACCCGCCACACUGGAACUGAGACACGGUCCAGACUCCUACGGGAGGCAGCAGUAGGGAAUCUUGCGCAAUGGGCGAAAGCCUGACGCAGCAAUACCGCGUGGGUGAAGAAGGCCUUCGGGUCGUAAAGCCCUUUUUCAGGUGAAGAUAAUGACGGUAGCCUGAGAAUAAGCACCGGCUAACUCCGUGCCAGCAGCCGCGGUAAUACGGAGGGUGCAAGCGUUGUUCGGAAUUAUUGGGCGUAAAGGGCGUCUAGGCGGCCUAAUAAGCGCAGGGUGAAAUCCCGGGGCUCAACCCCGGAAGUGCUUUGCGAACUG